GGCAGACUGAACAUAUAACUGUAAAUCUGGCAACUCUAGUCCUUCCCAAGUUGCCAGUGUUUUCAUGAAAUUUUUGCUGUGUAUAAGACGAGCCCUAUAAAUAUUUUAAACAUCGAAAAUGACAACUUUGAUAUUUUAGAGGUGACUUCUGAGGAGAACAACACACAUCUGAUUCUCAUGCCUCCCCUGUGCUACAGUACUGUGAUGUUAAUGGCUCCGUAGUGCAUGCUGGGAGACUACAGCCCCCACAAUACAGCAG
Molecule: non-coding RNA, 259 nt
Organism: Pelobates cultripes (western spadefoot toad)
Lineage: Eukaryota; Metazoa; Chordata; Amphibia; Anura; Pelobatidae
Source: the annotation of a GenBank genome assembly